This 312-nucleotide small RNA is filed under the name Pan troglodytes (chimpanzee). RNAcentral's name for it is "processed transcript". Lineage: Eukaryota; Metazoa; Chordata; Mammalia; Primates; Hominidae. The record is from RNAcentral.
UUUUCGUGCUAAACGUAAACUUACUAUUGGUAAAGAUUCUUAAUGAGUAAUUCUUAGGAUUUAGUACAAAAUUAGAUAUAUUCUUUUUAUUCGUAAUAUAGCAUGAAGUUCUUGCGGGGUAGGAGAGAGAGGUAUUCAUCUGAAAACUGGCUCUGUUUUAGUGUAGACAUUUGUCUACAGGGAAACAGUAGGAAAGCAUCAAUAAAUAUUUCUUGAUGUGUACAAUUGAGGUGAUGUUUACAAUGUAGUGAAAAAAACCUAUGCACGCAUGUUCCUGAUUUUAAUAAACCUCUGCAAAGAUUUCCUUCCUCA